AGAGUUUGAUCCUGGCUCAGGAUGAACGCUAGCGACAGGCUUAACACAUGCAAGUCGAGGGGCAGCGGGGUAGGAAGCUUGCUUUCUGCCGCCGGCGACCGGCGCACGGGUGAGUAACACGUAUGCAACCUGGCCGUGACAGAUGGAUAACCGGGAGAAAUCCCGCCUAAUACAACAUAAUGCCGGGAGGGGACAUCCCCUGCCGGCCAAAGGGGGCGACCCCGGUCACGGAUGGGCAUGCGGCGCAUUAGGUAGUUGGUGGGGCAACGGCCCACCAAGCCGACGAUGCGUAGGGGUUCUGAGAGGAAGGUCCCCCACAUUGGAACUGAGACACGGUCCAAACUCCUACGGGAGGCAGCAGUGGGGAAUAUUGGUCAAUGGCCGGAAGGCUGAACCAGCCAAGUCGCGUGAGGGAAUAAGGCCCUACGGGUCGUAAACCUCUUUUGCCAGGGAGCAAUGCCGUCCACGUGUGGACGGAAGGAGAGUACCUGGAGAAAAAGCAUCGGCUAACUCCGUGCCAGCAGCCGCGGUAAUACGGAGGAUGCGAGCGUUAUCCGGAUUUAUUGGGUUUAAAGGGUGCGUAGGCGGCCUGCCAAGUCAGCGGUAAAAUUGCGGGGCUCAACCCCGUACAGCCGUUGAAACUGCCGGGCUCGAGUGGGCGAGAAGUAUGCGGAAUGCGUGGUGUAGCGGUGAAAUGCAUAGAUAUCACGCAGAACCCCGAUUGCGAAGGCAGCAUACCGGCGCCCGACUGACGCUGAGGCACGAAAGUGCGGGGAUCAAACAGGAUUAGAUACCCUGGUAGUCCGCACAGUAAACGAUGAAUGCUAGCUGUCCGGGGGGAUUGACCCCUGGGUGGCACAGCGAAAGCGUUAAGCAUUCCACCUGGGGAGUACGCCGGCAACGGUGAAACUCAAAGGAAUUGACGGGGGCCCGCACAAGCGGAGGAACAUGUGGUUUAAUUCGAUGAUACGCGAGGAACCUUACCCGGGCUCAAACGGGAGAUGACGCGGGCAGAGACGCCCGUUUCUUAGGACAUCUUCCGAGGUGCUGCAUGGUUGUCGUCAGCUCGUGCCGUGAGGUGUCGGCUUAAGUGCCAUAACGAGCGCAACCCCUGCCGACAGUUGCUAACGCGUUGAGGCGAGGACUCUGUCGGGACUGCCGGCGCAAGCCGCGAGGAAGGCGGGGAUGACGUCAAAUCAGCACGGCCCUUACGUCCGGGGCGACACACGUGUUACAAUGGGGGGUACAGCGGGAAGCCAGGCGGCGACGCCGAGCGGAACCCGAAAGCCUCUCUCAGUUCGGAUCGGAGUCUGCAACCCGACUCCGUGAAGCUGGAUUCGCUAGUAAUCGCGCAUCAGCCAUGGCGCGGUGAAUACGUUCCCGGGCCUUGUACACACCGCCCGUCAAG
This 1408-nucleotide ribosomal RNA is filed under the name uncultured bacterium. RNAcentral's name for it is "bacterial SSU rRNA". It matches the Rfam family "Bacterial small subunit ribosomal RNA". The record is from RNAcentral.